CUCCUCGUUGCUGAUCUCAGGUUCGAUAAUGCCAAUAUCGCACCACCUCGCCUAAAACCAACUUCGAUGAAGCGACGGGCGGUGUGUG
Molecule: ribosomal RNA, 88 nt
Filed under: uncultured archaeon
Lineage: Archaea
Description: partial 16S ribosomal RNA
Source: RNAcentral